Molecule: unclassified non-coding RNA, 382 nt
Filed under: uncultured Gammaproteobacteria bacterium
Lineage: Bacteria; Pseudomonadati; Pseudomonadota; Gammaproteobacteria
Description: contains 16S-23S intergenic spacer region
Source: RNAcentral
UCGCGGCUUAUCACCGGCAGUCCCCUUAGAGUGCCCAACUAAAUGAUGGCAACUAAGGGCGAGGGUUGCGCUCGUUGCGGGACUUAACCCAACAUCUCACGACACGAGCUGACGACAGCCAUGCAGCACCUGUGUUCCCGCCAGCCGAACUGAAAAGGUCCAUCUCUGGUCUUCGCAACCGGGAUGUCAAGGGUAGGUAAGGUUUUUCGCGUUGCAUCGAAUUAAUCCACAUCAUCCACCGCUUGUGCGGGUCCCCGUCAAUUCCUUUGAGUUUUAAUCUUGCGACCGUACUCCCCAGGCGGUCGACUUCACGCGUUAGCUGCGGUACUAAGGAAGUCUCCUUCCCCAACACCUAGUCGACAUCGUUUAGGGCGUGGACUAC